UACGUAGGUGGCAAGCGUUGUCCGGAAUUAUUGGGCGUAAAGCGCGCGCAGGUGGUUCCUUAAGUCUGAUGUGAAAGCCCACGGCUCAACCGUGGAGGGUCAUUGGAAACUAGGGGAACGUUGAGUGCAGAAGAGGAAAGUGGAAUUCCAACGUGUAGCGGUGAAAUAGCGUAGAGAUUUGGUAGGAACACCAGUGGCGAAGGCGACUUUCUGGUCUGUAACUGACACUGAGGCGCGAAAGCGUGGGGAGC
RNAcentral lists this ribosomal RNA (251 nucleotides) under uncultured bacterium. Its description in RNAcentral is "partial 16S ribosomal RNA". It matches the Rfam family "Bacterial small subunit ribosomal RNA", at positions 524 to 769 of the family's 1533-position model. The record is from RNAcentral.